RNAcentral lists this ribosomal RNA (301 nucleotides) under uncultured bacterium. RNAcentral's name for it is "partial 16S ribosomal RNA". It matches the Rfam family "Bacterial small subunit ribosomal RNA", at positions 509 to 807 of the family's 1533-position model. The record is from RNAcentral.
CAGUAGCCGCGGGAAAACGAACCGAGCGAACGUUAUUCGGAAUCACUGGGCUUAAAGGGUGCGUAGGCGGACUGUCAAGUCUGGGGUGAAAUCCGGCAGCUCAACUGUCGAACUGCCUCAAAUACUGAUGGUCUCGAGGAAGGUAGGGGCAUGCGGAACUGUAGGUGGAGCGGUGAAAUGCGUUGAUAUCUACAGGAACUCCGGUGGCGAAAGCGGCGUGCUGGACCUUGUCUGACGCUGAGGCACGAAAGCUAGGGGAGCAAACGGGAUUAGAUACCCCCGUAGUCCCUGUCUCUUAUAC